CCCCUUUAACCGUAUUGAGAAUUUCUAUAACCAUAUAGAACUUUUUAUGCUAAAACUAAUAACAAGAGGAAAACCCUCUCCUUAAUGCAAGUGUAAGCCAGCAAGAACCCACCACUGGCAACUAACAGACCCCCACAAAGCAGCAACCCUCACCCUAGAGAACCCUACUUCCUACUACUGUUAACCUAACACAAGAGCAUUUCAAGAAAGAUUAAAAGAAAAAGAAGGAACUCGGCAAACAUUAGCCCCGCCUGUUUACCAAAAACACCGCCUCUUGACCCUAUAAGAGGUCCAGCCUGCCCAGUGACCCUGUUCAACGGCCGCGGUAUUCUAACCGUGCAAAGGUAGCGUAAUCACUUGUUUUCUAAAUAAAGACUAGUAUGAAAGGCACCACGAGGACUAAGCUGUCUCCUUUUUCCAAUCAGUGAACCUAAUCUCCCCGUGAAGAAGCGGGAAUUAAA
RNAcentral lists this ribosomal RNA (461 nucleotides) under Pristimantis morlaco. RNAcentral describes it as "partial 16S large subunit ribosomal RNA". The stretch from base 209 to 455 matches the Rfam family "Archaeal large subunit ribosomal RNA", at positions 1787 to 2143 of the family's 2987-position model. Lineage: Eukaryota; Metazoa; Chordata; Amphibia; Anura; Strabomantidae. The record is from RNAcentral.